This 588-nucleotide ribosomal RNA is filed under the name uncultured bacterium. Its description in RNAcentral is "partial 16S ribosomal RNA". It matches the Rfam family "Bacterial small subunit ribosomal RNA", at positions 355 to 938 of the family's 1533-position model. The record is from RNAcentral.
UGGGGAAUUUUGGACAAUGGGGGAAACCCUGAUCCAGCCAUCCCGCGUGUGCGAUGAAGGCCUUCGGGUUGUAAAGCACUUUUGGCAGGAAAGAAACGUCGCGGGUUAAUACCCCGCGAAACUGACGGUACCUGCAGAAUAAGCACCGGCUAACUACGUGCCAGCAGCCGCGGUAAUACGUAGGGUGCAAGCGUUAAUCGGAAUUACUGGGCGUAAAGCGUGCGCAGGCGGUUCGGAAAGAAAGAUGUGAAAUCCCAGAGCUUAACUUUGGAACUGCAUUUUUAACUACCGGGCUAGAGUGUGUCAGAGGGAGGUGGAAUUCCGCGUGUAGCAGUGAAAUGCGUAGAUAUGCGGAGGAACACCGAUGGCGAAGGCAGCCUCCUGGGAUAACACUGACGCUCAUGCACGAAAGCGUGGGGAGCAAACAGGAUUAGAUACCCUGGUAGUCCACGCCCUAAAACGAUGUCAACUAGCUGUUGGGGCCUUCGGGCCUUGGUAGCGCAGCUAACGCGUGAAGUUGACCGCCUGGGGAGUACGGUCGCAAGAUUAAAAACUUAAAUGAAUUGACGGGGGUCAUAGCUGUUUCCU